UCCCUGGUGGCUCAGACAUUAAAGCGUCUGCCUGCAAUGCAGGAGGCCCAGGUUCGAUUUCUGGGUUGGGAA
Molecule: transfer RNA, 72 nt
Filed under: Bos taurus (domestic cattle)
Lineage: Eukaryota; Metazoa; Chordata; Mammalia; Artiodactyla; Bovidae
Also listed under: 2 other names
Rfam family: tRNA
About the family: Transfer RNA (tRNA) molecules are approximately 80 nucleotides in length.
Source: Rfam by way of RNAcentral